Molecule: ribosomal RNA, 464 nt
Filed under: uncultured bacterium
Lineage: Bacteria
Description: partial 16S ribosomal RNA
Rfam family: Bacterial small subunit ribosomal RNA
Source: RNAcentral
GACGAACGCUGGCGGCGUGCUUAACACAUGCAAGUCGAACGGAAAGGCCCUGCUUGCAGGGUACUCGAGUGGCGAACGGGUGAGUAACACGUGGGUGAUCUGCCCUGCACUUCGGGAUAAGCUUGGGAAACUGGGUCUAAUACCGGAUAGGAGCCAUCUUUAGUGUGGUGGUUGGAAAGUUUUUUCGGUGUAGGAUGAGCUCGCGGCCUAUCAGCUUGUUGGUGGGGUAAUGGCCUACCAAGGCGGCGACGGGUAGCCGGCCUGAGAGGGUGUACGGCCACAGUGGGACUGAGAUGCCGCCGGGACUCCUGCGGGAGGCAGCAGUGGGGGAUAGUGCACACUGGGCGUAAGCCUGAUGCUGCCACGCCGCGUGGGGGAUUAAGGCCUUCGGGGUGGAGACUCUUUACGCGAGGGUCGAGGAUUUUGGUGGCGGUACCUAGAUGAGCAGCACCGGCUUACUGCGU